AACGAACGCUGGCGGCAUGCCUAACACAUGCAAGUCGAACGAGACCUUCGGGUCUAUUUGCGCACGUGUGCGUAACGCGUGGGAACCUGCCCUUAGGUUCGGAAUAACUCCCCGAAAGGGGUGCUAAUACCGGUUAAUCUCUUCGCACCAAAGAUUUAUGGCUUUUGGAUGGGCCUGCGUUGGUUUAGCUAGUUGGUAGGGUAAAAGCCUACCAAGGCGACGAUCCAUAGCUGGUCUGUGAGGAUGAUCAGCCACACUGGGAAUGAGACACGGCCCAGACUCCUACGGGAGGGAGCAGUGGGGAAUAUAGGACAAGGGGCGAAAGCCUAAUACAGCAAUGCCGCGUGAGUGAUGAAGGGCUUAGGGUUGUAAAGCUCUUUUACACGGGAUGAUAAUGACAGUAACGGGAGAAUAAGCUCCGGCUAACUCCGUG
Molecule: ribosomal RNA, 433 nt
Filed under: uncultured bacterium
Lineage: Bacteria
Description: partial 16S ribosomal RNA
Rfam family: Bacterial small subunit ribosomal RNA
Source: RNAcentral